RNAcentral lists this non-coding RNA (168 nucleotides) under uncultured Dysosmobacter sp. RNAcentral describes it as "malK-I RNA". It matches the Rfam family "malK-I RNA". The record is from RNAcentral. Lineage: Bacteria; Bacillati; Bacillota; Clostridia; Eubacteriales; Oscillospiraceae.
GCCGACCGCUCCACGUCCUCACCGGCGGCCCGGGCUGACACAAAGGAGGAAAUUCCGCCGGCCGGCGGUGCGGCAGUGUGGAGACCUGCCGUAAGCUCUUCCGGGCACGCUCCCGGGAUGAGGAGGCCCCUGCGCGGAGGCAAGGGGGCUGCGGCCGAUCUGUAUGGC